Molecule: ribosomal RNA, 228 nt
Filed under: uncultured bacterium
Lineage: Bacteria
Description: partial 16S ribosomal RNA
Rfam family: Bacterial small subunit ribosomal RNA
Source: RNAcentral
UGGGUGAGUAAUGUCUGGGAAACUGCCUGAUGGAGGGGGAUAACUACUGGAAACGGUAGCUAAUACCGCAUAACGUCGCAAGACCAAAGAGGGGGACCUUCGGGCCUCUUGCCAUCGGAUGUGCCCAGAUGGGAUUAGCUAGUAGGUGGGGUAACGGCUCACCUAGGCGACGAUCCCUAGCUGGUCUGAGAGGAUGACCAGCCACACUGGAACUGAGACACGGUCCAG